AGCCCAAAAAGCCUGAAGAGGCAGAGGGAAAAUGCGACAUGGAGAAAGAAUAAACAGGAAGCAACCCAGGAGAAGAAAGAGUCAAACUAAUGGAAACCAUUGACAAAUAACACGCAGGAGGGGGAGGACGGGGAGGGGGGAAAAAAAAGGGAGAGGGAGUGCUUAAAAAGAGCGAGAAUAUGCUAAAAGAAGAGGAGGACAAAACGGCGCUGAAAGGAGAGUGAGGGCAAAAUUGAAUUGUAGAUUGAGGGAGCCUCUCUCCUCCCUCUCUCCCUCCCUCUUUUAUUUAUCUCAUGUGAAGCCACGCCUCCCUCCUUUCACUUGUCAGUGCAUCCAUAACAGUGAGCUGUCUGCACCGGGCUGCGUGGGGGGUGAGACUCGCUCCUCACUUUUGCCAGCGCAAGCCGACCGGAUCCGAGCAGAGCAGGACCGGGAGUGGACGGCGUAUAGUCCGGCCAAACAGAACUUGGCAGUCUGAGGCUGAUUUCUGUGGGAGAGGAGAACAUCUAAAGGAGCUUGUUUA
Long non-coding RNA from Poecilia latipinna (sailfin molly), 523 nucleotides. RefSeq lists it as uncharacterized. NCBI's taxonomy places the organism in Eukaryota, Metazoa, Chordata, Actinopteri, Cyprinodontiformes, Poeciliidae. The transcript has 2 exons. The record is from RefSeq and is a predicted model, not a curated record.